This 497-nucleotide ribosomal RNA is filed under the name uncultured bacterium. RNAcentral's name for it is "partial 16S ribosomal RNA". It matches the Rfam family "Bacterial small subunit ribosomal RNA", at positions 28 to 507 of the family's 1533-position model. The record is from RNAcentral.
GAUGAACGCUGGCGGCGUGCCUAAUACAUGCAAGUCGAGCGAACGGACGAGAAGCUUGCUUUUCUGAUGUUAGCGGCGGACGGGUGAGUAACACGUGGAUAACCUACCUAUAAGACUGGGAUAACUUCGGGAAACCGGAGCUAAUACCGGAUAAUAUUUUGAACCGCAUGGUUCAUAAGUGAAAGACGGUCUUGCUGCCACUUAUAGAUGGAUCCGCGCUGCAUUAGCUAGUUGGUAAGGUAACGGCUUACCAAGGCAACGAUGCAUAGCCGACCUGAGAGGGUGAUCGGCCACACUGGAACUGAGACACGGUCCAGACUCCUACGGGAGGCAGCAGUAGGGAAUCUUCCGCAAUGGGCGAAAGCCUGACGGAGCAACGCCGCGUGAGUGAUGAAGGUCUUCGGAUCGUAAAACUCUGUUAUUAGGGAAGAACAUAUGUGUAAGUAACUGUGCACAUCUUGACGGUACCUAAUCAGAAAGCCACGGCUAACUACGUG